UCUUGGUAAUUGUGGAGGAUGCAUUUAAUCGGGACUGGAUAUGACAGAGCAGUGUGUGUUUCUUCUCCUGUCUCAACGGCCGAGGAGACAAAAAGCAGUGUUUUAAAGAGGGCAAAAUAAAAGACACGUGAAAAGCUUUUUCUUUUAUAUCCCUUUAAUUUCCCCGCUGACCCCUCUGAUAUACGAUGGGGGCUCUUUGGGGGGGUCACACUCGCAGCUCGGUAAUCAUUACUCCUCCGUAAUAACACGGUGUGGGACUGCGAAAUGAGAAGGGCUGGURCGUGCUCGGCUGUAGUUUGCUGAUCUUUUCAGACUUUGGACUCCAGAGUUGAUGAGUCAGUUUCCAAGGCGAAGGACGCGCCGAAAACACUUGUUAAAUAAGAUCCGCAGAAGGAAGUAAAUACAGCCGUGGAGCCAAAAACGCUUACCCUGAUGUGCACUUUGACCCAGUGACAGCGUGAGUAACUGACUUAAUGUGAGCGCAACCACCAGGCUCGGUGUCACGUAGGGCGCCGGGUGAUUUGUGCUGCAGGCUUUCAAAGACUGAAACGCUCAGCUAUAUGCUCUYUAGACUAAUAUUGUUCUAAAGUCUACACAGGAGGAUGGAAAUUUUUCCUGUACCGGAGGCCUGCUGGCUGGACCACACACCGAGCCGCAGUGCUGAGGCUUUCCAACCAGUGUAGCAACUAUUUCAGCGGAGGGAUCGACGUUUCACGCAAGGUUUACAGGGACACUUCGCAUGCCAGAGAGAGGAACGACCUGGUUUUGACGUCAUGCACAGAUCAGAGUCCUGAUAUGACACGAGAGGAUUCCCUCCGGUUGCUAGGAGACGGGUUUCCGGUUGUGGAUAAACAACGGGGUUCCUCGUGGCACACCUGUGUUUGAAGUUGACACUGCCACGCUGUCAGACGUCUAUCUGUUGUUCCUCGGCUAUUGAGUAACCAUAGUUAUUUUCCAUUGCGUGGAAUUCGCUAUAAAAUGUGUGUCAAUAGUGCUGCGUUGGCAUGACAACCGAAUAAUAGUAAAGGGGGAAAAGGUGAAUCGUUUAUGUUGCUCAUCUGACUGUGCAGUUCUACUGUAAGCAGGACAAGGUUCAUUUACUGUAUUUAUCCGCAAGUCAUGGCUGAAAAUACAUUUUACAGUUGAACA
This is a non-coding RNA of Poecilia reticulata (guppy), 1149 nucleotides long. The record is from RefSeq and is a predicted model, not a curated record. NCBI's taxonomy places the organism in Eukaryota, Metazoa, Chordata, Actinopteri, Cyprinodontiformes, Poeciliidae.